CACAUGGUCCUGAUAAAUUAAUACACCACGCCUCAUUAUUGAAUCACACUAUCACGAGAGCACGUAAGGGGCGAACACUCGGGAAGCUUAUUUAACAAAGUCAUCGCUGGCACUCAAUGUGCUGUCUUUUCCCUGGGUGCCAAGUCACUGCUGAGCAGCCAGAGGCGCCAGAAGCUGCCGUUCUUCUCCAACGACUAGGGUUGUCAGCUCACUGCUGCUCCAGGGGGCAGUGGGGAGGGAUGGGCCCACGAGCCUCUUCCAGACUCUUCCACCACUGAGUCACAUGAGCGAGUAGGGAAUGUUUGCUGGAAUCUGAUGUGGGAUCCACAUUUGUUCCUAAACCGUCUUGGGAAUCCCUUGGAACUUUGGAAACAAAGAUGUCAAAGGAGCUCUUUCUGGGAGGCCUUUCAGAAGACUGGAAACCCUGUGUGAUGCAUUAUCAUGCAAAGUUGAAUGACAGUAAUGGAGACCCUGCUCCUAGGCCCCUGGUUCCUGACAAAUCGUUUCCCGAAGUAGCAAAGUAUUUAUUUUCUUUUAUGAUAGAAAUGUUUCUCUUUAGUUGCUAUGAAAUUAAGCCUUUGUAAUUGGA
This is a long non-coding RNA of Lemur catta (Ring-tailed lemur), 589 nucleotides long. RefSeq lists it as uncharacterized. The transcript is spliced from 3 exons. The record is from RefSeq and is a predicted model, not a curated record. NCBI's taxonomy places the organism in Eukaryota, Metazoa, Chordata, Mammalia, Primates, Lemuridae.